AAUAAGUAUAGUUCUGCAUUGUUAAUGUUCAACGUUUAACCGUUCGUCUUAUUUUAAAAUAUUCUAUGAUUAGUAUUUUUAUUGUUAUUAGAUGAUAAAAUAUGAAUAGUAUUUUAUGUGUAACUAAUUUUCAUAAUUUUUUUAAAUAAAAUGAACAGUUAAAUUUUGGGUACAGAUACCCGCGAUUACACUUAUA
Molecule: non-coding RNA, 196 nt
Organism: Oryza barthii
Lineage: Eukaryota; Viridiplantae; Streptophyta; Magnoliopsida; Poales; Poaceae
Source: Rfam